Long non-coding RNA from Neodiprion virginianus, 273 nucleotides. RefSeq lists it as uncharacterized. Lineage: Eukaryota; Metazoa; Arthropoda; Insecta; Hymenoptera; Diprionidae. The record is from RefSeq and is a predicted model, not a curated record. The transcript is spliced from 2 exons.
CUGACGUGAGACGUUCUGUUUCGCAAUCUACAUAUCUUCCCACGCGUAACAUGCGCUAUUGUAACGCCAAACGUGCAGCCUAUAAUAGGCGAACACUCGUUCGGUACUUCUACCUGCGCAAACAUAUUUCACCCAUUCCUAGAUGUCACCGUGGAUGAAGCGUGUCGUUGUUAUCGGCACUACUGUUACUCGUUAGUGUCAACAGGCACGCCAAAUCCUCGUUAUGGACAUGACGAUGUUACCGUUCCACUAUUCGAACUUUCGCUAAUCAGA